UACUUUAAAUUAAAAGGUGUGGCUUGCAUCCACUUAAUAAAGUAUUUAGACUUU
Molecule: transfer RNA, 54 nt
Filed under: Puncturella cf. parvinobilis
Lineage: Eukaryota; Metazoa; Mollusca; Gastropoda; Lepetellida; Fissurellidae
Description: tRNA-Ala
Source: RNAcentral